Molecule: ribosomal RNA, 253 nt
Filed under: uncultured bacterium
Lineage: Bacteria
Description: partial 16S ribosomal RNA
Rfam family: Bacterial small subunit ribosomal RNA
Source: RNAcentral
GACGGAGGAUGCAAGUGUUAUCCGGAAUCACUGGGCGUAAAGCGUCUGUAGGUGGUUUAAAAAGUCCACUGUUAAAAAUUGAAGCUUAACUUCAAAGAUGCAAUGGAAACUUUUAAACUUGAGUAUGGUAGGGGUAGAGGGAAUUUCCAGUGGAGCGGUGAAAUGCGUAGAUAUUGGAAAGACCACCAAUGGCGAAGGCACUCUACUGGGCCAUUACUGACACUGAGAGACGAAAGCGAGGGGAGCAAAUGGG